RNAcentral lists this unclassified non-coding RNA (411 nucleotides) under Hevea brasiliensis (rubber tree). The record is from RNAcentral. Lineage: Eukaryota; Viridiplantae; Streptophyta; Magnoliopsida; Malpighiales; Euphorbiaceae.
UUGGGACGUUUUCCAGUUGCUGGUUCAGAGGAGGAUGCUCAAAAAUUGAUAUCUUUGGUGGCCAGCAUCAAUGGUGGCUUGUCAGACGGGAGGCUUGAAGAGAUAAAUCAAAAAAUUCUUCGCCAUUUCGCAUUCGGUGCUAGGGCUGUCCUUAAUCCUAUGGCUGCAAUGUUUGGUGGUAUUGUUGGGCAGGAGGUUGUGAAGGCCUGCUCUGGGAAGUUCCAUCCGCUUUUUCAGUUUUUCUAUUUUGACUCAGUGGAGUCCCUUCCCACAGAACCUUUAGAACCCAAUGAUUUGAAGCCCUUGAAUAGCCGUUAUGAUGCGCAAAUUUCGGUCUUUGGAUCUAAGCUUCAGAAAAAACUAGAAGAUGCUAACGUUUUUGUGGUAGGAUCUGGUGCCCUUGGGUGUGAG